AAAAAUCACACUUAUUAAGAAAAUGUAAAACAUGAGAAUUUGAAGUAUGUUUUUGUGGGUUUUUCUUGGAAUAACUUGCAUAGGAAGAUGUAAAAACAAUUUUUAUUGGUUGUUGUUUAUUGAGAAAAUGAGAAAGAGAAGAAAUUAAAUGCAAUUUGCAUUUAAUUUUAUGAAAAUAAGAAAAAAACAUUCUUGAAAAUGAU
RNAcentral lists this long non-coding RNA (203 nucleotides) under Trifolium pratense (red clover). Its description in RNAcentral is "long non-coding RNA (TPRA_LNC004943)". The record is from RNAcentral. Lineage: Eukaryota; Viridiplantae; Streptophyta; Magnoliopsida; Fabales; Fabaceae.